UGAGGAAUAUUGGUCAAUGGGCGAGAGCCUGAACCAGCCAAGUAGCGUGCAGGAUGACGGCCCUAUGGGUUGUAAACUGCUUUUAUAUGGGAAUAAAGUGAGGGACGUGUCCCUUAUUGCAUGUACCAUAUGAAUAAGGACCGGCUAAUUCCGUGCCAGCAGCCGCGGUAAUACGGAAGGUCCAGGCGUUAUCCGGAUUUACUGGGCGUAAAGGGUGCGUAGGUGGUCUUUCAAGUCGGUGGUUAAAGGCUACGGCUCAACCGUAGUUAGCCUCCGAAACUGGAAGACUUGAGUGCAGGAGAGGAAAGUGGAAUUCCCAGUGUAGCGGUGAAAUGCGUAGAUAUUGGGAGGAACACCAGUAGCGAAGGCGGCUUUCUGGACUGCAACUGACACUGAGGCACGAAAGCGUGGGGAGCAAACAGG
RNAcentral lists this ribosomal RNA (423 nucleotides) under Verrucomicrobiota bacterium. Its description in RNAcentral is "Verrucomicrobia bacterium partial 16S ribosomal RNA". It matches the Rfam family "Bacterial small subunit ribosomal RNA", at positions 355 to 776 of the family's 1533-position model. The record is from RNAcentral. Lineage: Bacteria; Pseudomonadati; Verrucomicrobiota.